Molecule: ribosomal RNA, 482 nt
Filed under: uncultured bacterium
Lineage: Bacteria
Description: partial 16S ribosomal RNA
Rfam family: Bacterial small subunit ribosomal RNA
Source: RNAcentral
AUUGAACGCUGGCGGCAUGCCUUACACAUGCAAGUCGAACGGUAACAGGUCUUCGGAUGCUGACGAGUGGCGAACGGGUGAGUAAUACAUCGGAACGUGCCCAGACGUGGGGGAUAACGAGGCGAAAGCUUUGCUAAUACCGCAUACGAUCUAAGGAUGAAAGCAGGGGACCGCAAGCCCUUGCUCGUUUGGAGCGGCCGAUGGCAGAUUAGGUAGUUGGUGGGAUAAAAGCUUACCAAGCCGACGAUCUGUAGCUGGUAUGCAGGGACGACCAGCCACACGGGGACUGAGACAGGGCCCCGACUCCUACAGGAGGCAGCGGUGGGGAAUUUUGGACGAGGGACGAAAGCCUGAUCCUGCAAAGCCGCGUGCAGGAUGAAGGCCUUCUGGUUGGAAACUGCUUUUGUACGGAGCGAAAAGGCUCUGGCUAAUACCUGAGGCACAUGACGGUACCGUAAGAAUAAGCACCGGCUAACUACGUG